UGAUGCAUCUGGAAUGGUCGGGAUAGCUCAGCUGGUAGAGCAGAGGACUGAAAAUCCUCG
This 60-nucleotide transfer RNA is filed under the name Wilkiea sp. Hyland 2811. Its description in RNAcentral is "tRNA-Phe". The stretch from base 17 to 60 matches the Rfam family "tRNA", at positions 1 to 43 of the family's 71-position model. Rfam says of the family: Transfer RNA (tRNA) molecules are approximately 80 nucleotides in length. Their secondary structure includes four short double-helical elements and three loops (D, anti-codon, and T loops). Further hydrogen bonds mediate the characteristic L-shaped molecular structure. tRNAs have two regions of fundamental functional importance: the anti-codon, which is responsible for specific mRNA codon recognition, and the 3' end, to which the tRNAs corresponding amino acid is attached (by aminoacyl-tRNA synthetases). tRNAs cope with the degeneracy of the genetic code in two manners: having more than one tRNA (with a specific anti-codon) for a particular amino acid; and 'wobble' base-pairing, i.e. permitting non-standard base-pairing at the 3rd anti-codon position. The record is from RNAcentral. Lineage: Eukaryota; Viridiplantae; Streptophyta; Magnoliopsida; Laurales; Monimiaceae.